UGGGGAAUAUUGGACAAUGGGCGAAAGCCUGAUCCAGCCAUGCCGCGUGUGUGAAGAAGGUCUUCGGAUUGUAAAGCACUUUACGUUGGGAGGAAGGGCAGUAAGCGAAUACCUUGCUGUUUUGACGUUACCGACAGAAUAAGCACCGGCUAACUCUGUGCCAGCAGCCGCGGUAAUACAGAGGGUGCAAGCGUUAAUCGGAAUUACUGGGCGUAAAGCGCGCGUAGGUGGUUCGUUAAGUUGAAUGUGAAAGCCCCGGGCUCAACCUGGGAACUGCAUCCAAAACGGGCGAGCUAGAGUAGGGCAGAGGGUGGUGGAAUUUCCUGUGUAGCGGUGAAAUGCGUAGAUAUAGGAAGGAACACCAGUGGCGAAGGCGACCACCUGGGCGCAUACUGACACUGAGGUGCGAAAGCGUGGGAGCAAACAGG
RNAcentral lists this ribosomal RNA (428 nucleotides) under Pseudomonadota bacterium. Its description in RNAcentral is "Proteobacteria bacterium partial 16S ribosomal RNA". It matches the Rfam family "Bacterial small subunit ribosomal RNA", at positions 355 to 776 of the family's 1533-position model. Lineage: Bacteria; Pseudomonadati; Pseudomonadota. The record is from RNAcentral.